Molecule: long non-coding RNA, 534 nt
Filed under: Numida meleagris (helmeted guineafowl)
Lineage: Eukaryota; Metazoa; Chordata; Aves; Galliformes; Numididae
Description: lncRNA (ENSNMEG00000005620.1)
Source: RNAcentral
AUUUCUGUUCUUGCUGAGACAACAUAGAUUAGAGGGCUGACCAUGCUUGUCUGCACUGAAAUUUCUGGGGAUUUGGCUGGUGUUGCCAAAUUGAUGUCUAAAUGCUGAAAUAUGUUCUUGGCCCAGACCGCUCCUUUCUGUUAUUUAGGAAAUGCUUUCACUCCUGAAGAGAGUAUUUCUACAGCUAACAACUGAAUAUACAAGGAUCAGAGCAAGCUGCAGUACUUGUAUCUGUGUUAGCAUCAAUCAUUUUGGGAAGGAAAGGAAGGCAUCCAGAAUAUUAGGUAAAUAUAGAUUUAUUUUAUUUUUUAAAUAAACUGUUUUCAGAUUACAUAAAGAACAUAUAGAGAUGUGCAAAGAGGUGGAAAGAUGAUUUACCACAGGGUAAUCAUAUUUCAUGAAACUAUGUAGGUCAUUUCAAAAGUAAUGCCUGCUAUUUAUUUGCAUGGAAACUACAACAGAUACAAAGAGCCCAAUAACACAAUUUGAUAGAGAAAAUUCUUAGCUACAAAGCGGUAUUUUUCAACAUCACCA